Molecule: ribosomal RNA, 673 nt
Filed under: uncultured Vibrionaceae bacterium
Lineage: Bacteria; Pseudomonadati; Pseudomonadota; Gammaproteobacteria; Vibrionales; Vibrionaceae
Description: bacterial SSU rRNA
Rfam family: Bacterial small subunit ribosomal RNA
Source: RNAcentral
UAGAGUUUGAUCAUGGCUCAGAUUGAACGCUGGCGGCAGGCUUAACACAUGCAAGUCGAGCGGUAACAGGAAUAGCUUGCUAUUUGCUGACGAGCGGCGGACGGGUGAGUAAUGCUUGGGAAUAUGCCUUAUGGUGGGGGACAACAGUUGGAAACGACUGCUAAUACCGCAUAAUGUCUACGGACCAAAGGGGGGGAUCUUCGGACCUCUCGCCAUUUGAUUAGCCCAAGUGAGAUUAGCUAGUUGGUAAGGUAAUAGCUUACCAAGGCGACGAUCUCUAGCUGGUUUGAGAGGAUGAUCAGCCACACUGGGACUGAGACACGGCCCAGACUCCUACGGGAGGCAGCAGUGGGGAAUAUUGCACAAUGGGGGGAACCCUGAUGCAGCCAUGCCGCGUGUGUGAAGAAGGCCUUCGGGUUGUAAAGCACUUUCAGUUGUGAGGAAAGGUGAGUAGUUAAUAGCUGCAUACUGUGACGUUAACAACAGAAGAAGCACCGGCUAACUUCGUGCCAGCAGCCGCGGUAAUACGAGGGGUGCAAGCGUUAAUCGGAAUUACUGGGCGUAAAGCGUUCGUAGGCGGUUGAAUAAGCAAGAUGUGAAAGCCCAGGGCUCAACCUUGGAACUGCAUUUUGAACUGUUCGACUAGAGUACUGUAGAGGGGGGUAGAAUUUCA